AUGGUGGGGAGGGGAGAAAAGAAUCUCUUUUCUUGGACUUCCAACAUCAUAGUGCUUGGUUUAGGCAAUACCUGUUCAUUCAUUCAUGCAUUAAUUUGUCAAGUGAUUAUUGAUCAGCUACCACAGAUACAUCGUGACAUCACACAAAGUCCACCCCAACCCUUUAUCCACAAUGAGGACUCAACAAGGGCAUUGGGCCAAAACUAAAUGUCUGGAAGUGAGACAGGCUGCAACCCGACAGCCUGUGCAGCUAGUGAGUGGAGGCAUCAGUUGUUAGAUUUCAGUGGGGUUCCAUUUAUUCUUCCUUCCUUCCUUCCUUUCAGUCAUUCAUUUGGCAAACAAUUCCUGAGCAUCUACUGUGUAUCAGAUGUGUGAGGCACUUGGGUUAUCAGAAGGGAAGACCUGGCUCUCAGCAAAGGGCAUUUCAGAUAACAGUAGCUAAUACUUAUCACACGCUUACAAUGUGUGCCAAGAACUAUAUACUGAGUGCUUCCCAUGACUUAUCUCUUUGAAACCUCAUUCUAGAGCUGAUGGAGAAGUCUGCACAGAUGGGGAAAACUGAGAUUCAGACUCCACCUUGUUCCAGGUCACCUCGCCAGAAACAAGUUUGGAGAUGCUGAACCAGAAGAAGUCUGCAAAUGAGCCUUCGCUUUGCAAAGGGCAAGUGUCACCAGCUAUGGACUGUAGGCCAAAUCCAGCCCAAAGAGCCAGUCAGGCUCAGGCUGCUUUGGCAAAUAAAGUUUUAUUGGCAUUUA
Long non-coding RNA from Bubalus bubalis (water buffalo), 755 nucleotides. RefSeq lists it as uncharacterized. The record is from RefSeq and is a predicted model, not a curated record. The transcript has 2 exons. Lineage: Eukaryota; Metazoa; Chordata; Mammalia; Artiodactyla; Bovidae.